Molecule: ribosomal RNA, 206 nt
Filed under: uncultured bacterium
Lineage: Bacteria
Description: partial 16S ribosomal RNA
Rfam family: Bacterial small subunit ribosomal RNA
Source: RNAcentral
UGCGCAGGCGGUCCGUUGUGUCCGAUGUGAAAGCCCCGGGCUUAACCUGGGAAUGGCAUGGGAAACUGGCGGGCUGGAGUGUGGCAGAGGGGGGUGGAAUUCCGCGUGUAGCAGUGAAAUGCGUAGAGAUGCGGAGGAACACCGAUGGCGAAGGCAGCCCCCUGGGCCAACACUGACGCUCAGGCACGAAAGCGUGGGAGCAAACA